RNAcentral lists this transfer RNA (24 nucleotides) under Elaphoglossum hybridum. Its description in RNAcentral is "partial tRNA-Ser". RNAcentral also lists the same sequence under 24 other names. The record is from RNAcentral. Lineage: Eukaryota; Viridiplantae; Streptophyta; Polypodiopsida; Polypodiales; Dryopteridaceae.
AGGAAAGGGAGGGAUUCGAACCCU